RNAcentral lists this ribosomal RNA (432 nucleotides) under uncultured bacterium. RNAcentral's name for it is "bacterial SSU rRNA". It matches the Rfam family "Bacterial small subunit ribosomal RNA", at positions 97 to 505 of the family's 1533-position model. The record is from RNAcentral.
GGCGAACGGGUGAGUAACGCGUGAAGGAACCUGCCUUCGACAGGGGGAUAACACACCCAACGGGGUGCUAAUACCGCAUGAGACCACGGGGUCGCAUGGCCCUGAGGUCAAAGGUGGCCUCUAUUUAUAAGCUACCGGUCGAAGAUGGCUUCGCGUCCCAUUAGCUAGUUGGCGGUGUAACGGACCACCAAGGCGACGAUGGUAGCUGGUCUGAGAGGAUGGUCAGCCACACUGGGACUGAGAUACGGCCCAGACUCCUACGGGAGGCAGCAGUCGAGAGGCUUCGGCAAUGGGGGCAACCCUGACCGAGCGACGCCGCGUGAGGGAUGAAGGCCCUUGGGUUGUAAACCUCUUUUGUUGGGGAAGAAAUGCGAUCAGGUGAACAAUCUGGUCGUUUGACGGUACCCGACGAAUAAGCUCCGGCUAACUCCG